This is a long non-coding RNA of Daphnia pulex (common water flea), 3735 nucleotides long. RefSeq lists it as uncharacterized. The transcript has 7 exons. The record is from RefSeq and is a predicted model, not a curated record. NCBI's taxonomy places the organism in Eukaryota, Metazoa, Arthropoda, Branchiopoda, Diplostraca, Daphniidae.
UCUUAGUUCUCCAACCCUCUAACCUCGUGUAGUCGCACGGUCAGACAUUACUCAUCAUGGCCAGACUUCACGUAUGUACACGUCAGUUUUAUAGGGAAGACCCUCCACCUCCAAAAGGUAUUGAAAUGUUUGUGGGAAAAUUACCACGUGAUGUGUUCGAAGAAUUGAAUCGAAUCUUCUCUACAAUCGGUACUUCAAGGUGAAAUGGAAAGGUUAGCCUAACGCGUAACCCAAGUCAUUGUUUACAUUUCCAUCAGAGAUAAAACUAAAAAUAGUCGUUUUGCAUUUGUCGAGUACGUUAAUCAUCGUGCAGCUUCCAAGACUCGUAGAAAGUUGAUACCUAACCGCAUUCAAUUAACAGAGAUAGCUGUCGACUGGGUCGAGUAGGGAAAUGAAAUCGAUGAAGACGCCAUGUCGCAGGUUACGUUCUUGUACGUCUGCAACUUGUCGCUGACAACUGCAGAACAAGUUCUUCGUGGAAAUUCAAUUAUACCUUUACUGACAGUUCGACAUCUUUCAUGCCGAAUUAUUACAACAGUGGAGAACAUUCGAGUACAACAGCUAGCGUGUAAGAUUGUCCCACGUCUUACAACAGGUAAUUGAUCUGGCUUGGCUUAACCUGUUUAUCUUUUAUAUUGCUUUGUUUGCUUUUAUAUGUAUUUAGCGCAUAUUUGUUAGUAGAGGUGUGAGUAAAGAGUUAGUAAUUUUGUUAACAUAUUAAGCCAGAUAUGGGGGCACAUCACGUAUAAACUUUCUUCGAUUGUCGAUCAUAUUAUCCUAUAUAGCGUAUUAGGAUAAUAGAAUUCUACACUCCCAUGAUUUUUUUUUAUGUGGUUCGAUCAGUAGCUCAGCAAACGGCAGGUCCAAAAUUUGUUGGUUGUAUUUAACGAGUAAAAUUUAUUGACUUCUGGAGAACAUUGGACGUGGCUUUCCAUGUUCCGUCUAAUUGGAGCCCCCCAUCUCGACUCACGCCUCAUGAGUAGGAUUCACUCAACAAGUCCUCUACGAAUUCCCAAAGGUUUCGCUCUUUUGGACCGCAGUAAGCGGUGCCCUUCGAUCGGUAAUAAUUUACUUUAGUUGAUUUUAGGAUAGAGACGAAAGCUUUUGACGAGGCUAAAUAAAGUUAUGCGAAGCCUCUCGACAUUUCACGCUCUACUACGCCGUCGGUUACCUAGUACCUACUCAGUACCUUGGGGUUCGGUCAUCGUGUUUUCACUGACGCCGACGAAAGGGAAGUAACGGAAGUUGUUGUUCGCCUUUUGUUGAUACGAAAUCUACGUCUAUGAAAACAUGCCUGGACUACUACGGACACCAGUUCGAAUUAAUUAAGCAACCCGUGCCUGGUUUGGGAUUAGGCCAUCAAUCAACUUUCGCAACAUUUCGGCAUCGACCUUAUUCUCAAGUAUGCGGCGGCCACUUUUUCUUUUGGCGCUUCUUUUCUUUCUUUUCAUAGACGGAUGGCAUUGCACUACAAGCAUUGUACCUAACGAAUUCACUUUGUUUUGUCUGUUGUUGCUUGCCAUGCACGUUGACCGCGACCCGCAAUAGCCAGUCACGCCUGUUAAAUACGCCCGCCUGCAUGUAAUCCGAGAUCCCCAAACAACUUUCUAUCGAAAAGUACGACAACAAAACUUUCGGAGCACGAGAACAAAGGUUAUGUUCACCAGCAGUCUGACCAUGAUUUUUGUCUAAUACUAUCUUUGCAAUUUGAUCUAGAACACCUGGAGUUUCCAGAGCAAGGAUCAUAACAAACUCAUGUUUUUUUAGUUUUUAGUUUUUUUUUUUCAAUCUGGCAAUUUGACACUCUUACUUCCGGUGGAGUUCCGGUGCAAAAUUAGACGUGAUUAUAGAAUUGCAAAUUUGCAACACUAGAUGGCGAAGGGUAUAUUGUUGUCGUUUUAAUGGCGCUCAUGGCGAACAGCAAAUGUCGAAAGUUAUUUUUACUUUUUGUUAAGUUCUUAGUUUUUACGGACCAAAUUUAAAAUUAUGUGUAAGUAAAUCUGCAACUGUUUUUAGUCUAACCGGCAAGGCGGCAAAGUUAAUUGCUUACAUUUAUCUCUUAGUCUACUUUUCCUAUUUCUAGUCUACCUUUCCUGUUGUCUCGUCAAGGUAAAUUAUCAACUAAAAAAUCGUCAACAUUCAGCUUCAUGCCGAUGACGGAUAGAGAUAUUUACAGCAAAGAAAUUGACAGCUUUAUGACUUGGUGCAACAAAUUAGACAUCUCGCAUAGGACCAACUUCCUGACAUAAUGACUCUUCUGUCAUUUGGGGAUCCAGCCAAGAAAACCAUCACUCAUAACCAAUGCGGCAAUGCCCAUAAUGCCCAUCAAAUAUUCCGAGUACGUCAAAUGAGAUCCCUGUCGACUCACCAUUUCAUAUCGAACGCCACUCCUCCCGUCAAUCUGGAAAAAACUUUCUGACGAGGUAAAACUGUUAUUUCUCUUAUUCAUUUAUAUGAAACUAUCACGUAUUUAUUUGGUACAUCGGGUCUCAUUUCCAACCUCAGCGUCAGACAAUGGAGAUACCGGUACAGUUUAUCUGGCUUGCCCUGAAUAGUUUAUCUCAAGUAUCAUUUUGGGUUUUAAAUGCCACAGAGUAUUAGCUAGUGCUAGUAAAUGUAGAGUUAGAUUUUUUUUAGUAGCUGUGUAUGUUAUUUUAUACAGACAUACAUGGGAAACAGUGGGAGUGAUAGGACGUAGAUUGUGGAGGGAGUAGAAAUCGAACACGCGGGACAUUCCGUAUCGACAACAUAACCAUCAUGCUCGCACAUCUGGUCUUGUCCAUCUCCGGUUAAGUUAAUCAUAGCCUUAAAAGGAAAGUAGCUGAGAGUGAUCUGGAAUGUUUACUUAAAAUAUAGGAAUAGUUUGUGGUUACAGCUUCCAAUUCCCAAACAUUCACCUUUGGAAAAAUGAUUCGAAGAACUCUUAACAAUUUACAAGGAUUCGGUCGUAUGAUGUCGGUCGUUUUGACGUCGUCCACCGCGAGGAGACGCUACUCGAUGUUAUCCACUCAGUGAGCCGAAACGGCAGAUCCAUCUUUUUCACUGUCGUUUUGACUCUCAUCCCAGUCUACAUGUUUUCCAUCAUCGGGUAUCACGUUCAGUUUCACGCCAAAUUGUUAUUAUAUCUACAACAUAGUGUCUUAAAUUAAUUACAAUUUUUCUACUGUUCGUUUCAGAGAUGUCCGUCAGUAUGUGCGUAUGUGCAAUUAGUGGAUUGUCCUUAUGCUUUCAACUCUCGACAAAGCAUCCACCGAUAACAACGCUAUAUUGUUUCCUUCAAUAAUGUUCUUUUGCUUUGUAAGAGUUCAUGGUCAGUUGGAGCUGUUUACAUUGUUGCUGUUUGGUGUCCAGUGGUUUUGCAGUCCCUUUCCAGUUGAGAGAUGCUCUGAAAUGGAGUUUGUGCAGACUUGCAGUUCAACAUCACACUUAAAUGUGUCAUUUGUCUAUGUUGGUGUCCAUGCAGUAUUUGCAGUGUUGAACAGUUGGGUAAAAUAGUUCAUGCUGCCUGAUGGCUGUCGGUCUUAUUUUAUCGGUUGCAUUUUUUCGAUAUGUCAUCCCUUGCUACCUGUAUCGUCGUUUAGUUUCAUCGUUUGCUGCCGUUCCAUAGACUUGAUCCAUUGGUAAACUGAGGAGAGGUUGCUGAAAUUCAAGAAUCGUCAAUAAAUUAUGUAGAUGCUGUAGAAAAAUUACAAGUGCAUAUCUGGGCUCCCUUCUUCAGUGGCCCCGUUUCCCUAA